CUCGGGAAUGGGGUGGUUCUGCUCAUUGACGGGGGUUGGCCAGAAACAGAAAAUGACAGCCUCAAAGGAGCCUGGGAUUUGUCAGUUAUGUUUUGUCAGUAUUGUAGAGUUCAAACUCUUUCACAGUAUCUCUCCAUCUGAGGCGGCAGCGUGCUCUCUUACCAGCAUCAGGAGCUCAGGACCACAGGAUGGUGCGGGCUGAAUGCACUGCCGUCAAGACAGCUGUGCUAGUCACUGCAGGUGCCCUCACCUCCAGUAGCAUCCAUCCAGACACCAGCACUGACACUGGCCGUGCUCAGAACUGCCUCAGACCUGAAGACACAACUGACAAAUAGAAGGGGGCCACGCCCUGUUACAGCAGGUGCUCUCACUUUGUGGGUCCUUAUGUAACUGCACCAUGUUAAUCAGGAUCGCCCGUUCUACAUUGUGUAGCGCUGCUGCGGUGUCUCCUAGUUACUUGUUUCUUGUAAGAAUUCCGGUGACUGAGUUAGAAGCAUGUUUCCAAGCUGUCCGUGUCCUCGGCAUCCAGAAGCGGAGCCUGGAAGCUUCCGAAUUUCUCCAGAAUGCAGUCUACAUUCACCUUCGGCAGGGCCUGCAGCAUGAGCAUCCCUGACUACGUGCAGUGUGCUGAGGACCACCAGACUUUCCCCGUGGUGGUCGAACACGUGGGGAUCAUCUCAGAGGAGAAUUUCUUUUGCAUCUAUAAGUGAAUCACCUUGGUGAGUCAGAUCAGUCCGUGCAGCUCCCAGUGGGCAAACUGUAUCCACUACAGGCACCACUAUGCGCCCAAGAAUGUGUGGAGCGACUUCCAGACCCACCGCAAGGUCUUGGGCCUUGUCAUCAUUACUGAAUGCCUCUCGGCCAAGGCUUCGAAAAGCUCCACGUGCAGAGGAGCUGUAUGGCACCACGCUCUAUGACUCUCAGCUCUUUGACUUUCUGCUGCAUGGGGAGGUGGCCGAGCAGCCGCGCACCGAAGUGGCCUUCAAUUUACGAGGACUGCAGGGUGGUGGAGAAGAGGAUCGACGACUUCACUGAGUCACUCUUCAUCUUGCCCAAGUCCAAGUGGCUGGACGGUGCAUCCGACAAUUCUGGGGACAAGAUCCUCCUUCUCUGCAUCCCAUUUGAGAAGGAGGACAUCAUGGGACUGGACACAGAAAGCAGUACGUUUUGGUUACUGAGUCCCUCAAAUUCCCAUAUGAAUAGUAGCAGCAGCUAGUCAGUUACUGCAGAGGAGCCCGCUGGGAUUGUGAUCGAGACCACGUUGAGUAUACAGAUCGCUCUGGGGAGCACUGCCAUCCCAAGAGCGCUGUCAUCUGAUCCAGGAAUGUGCGUGGUGUGUCUGUCCAGGUGCCCUCACCUCCAGUGGCAUCCAUCCAGACACCAGCACUGACACUGGCCGUGCUCAGAACUGCCUCAGCCCUGAAGACACAACUGACAAAUAGAAGGGGGACACGCCCUGUGACAGCAGGUGCUCUCACUUUGUGGGUCCUUAUGUAACUGCGCAGUGUUAUUCAGGAUCGCCCGUUCUACACUGUGUGACGCUGCUGCCGUGUCUCCUAGUUAUUUCUGAGAGGAAAAGAAGUCUAAACUUACUUUCCAGUUGAAAAUGGAAUGGAGAGUUAACGUUGGAAGCCGGGAGAGUCUGUCCUGUGAUGAAGCGGCGUCCUAGCCACUUCCACUGGGACGUCACGUCACUGUCUGGGCCCCUUGCUCAGCCUGUGCACAGGUGACAGCGCAGAUGUGCCGAGCAGUCCUCCCGGACAGGGCAGUGGGUUGGAAAGGAGUUUGGGGAUUUGGUUUCAUUUCAUAGGUUUCUGAGGGCCUUGGCCUGGCACUUCGAGUGGGACCAUUCCCUGUCCCACAUACUCAUGCUCUGGGCCAGUGCAGGCCUGAUGUGGCCUCAGCCUGAGGCUCAGGGCCCGUGGUGAAGUGGAGAAUUUUAGUCCAGGGUCUGUGGAGGCUCUGACAAUUCUGGGUCGUGGGACAUUGUCCAGGAUGAUAAUAAUUCUUCCCCGAGUUUCAGAUUUCCUUGCCUGUGAGACGGGGUAGUAAUAGUUUCUGAGAUGAUUGUAAUGAUUCAGUAAGGGGCGCAGCGUGUGCUGGCAGGUAGCUGGUGCUUAAGGAGCAGAAGUCGCAGUCACUCUGUCAGCCUCUCACUGUGUGCUCUGUGCUUUGAGAAGAUGUGUAUUUGGUGAAAGUCCUGCCCAAAUACUAGGGUCUAGAUGAAACGUUGUUCCUUUACUUUCCCUUUCUUUUGCUCCUUCCUUUCUCUGCGUCUCAUGUGUAGGGAGCAGAUUCCUCUGUUUCAGGGAAUACAGGCCUUUCUAGGAAAAGGACAGGAUGAACGUGGAUAGGUGGGGCCGGAGGGGGUCUGGAGCAUCUGCACAGCGCUGCUUCCCUGCAUUUCUGCAUCCGGUCCCAUCAGUGCACGAACGUUCCUAGGAGAGAAUUCAGCAGUGCAGCAUCCUCUCCGAGCUCUAUGAGUUGAUCGGCUUCCACUGCAAGUCCGUCUUCUUCAAGUGGGUGGCCCCCGUGCAGAGCGUGGCCCCCGGCAUCCCGGAGCCUGGCGGGAAGGCCUGCUACCGACUCCUUCUGCAGACGCUUCCUGGCUACAGUCUGUCACUGAUUCUGCAGGACUUCAACAAAGGUUUUGGGACUAAAACAUUGCUUCAGUCCGAUUAACCAUGCCUUGUUUGGGCCCUGCUCUCCUGUCUCAACAGGGUGAAUUGUGAUUCGUGUAGAGCAGGACACAGCAGACUUUUUUCUGUCAAGGGCUUGGGAGUCAAUAUUUCAGGAUCUGCAAACCUCCUGAUCUCUGGUGCAGCUGCUCAGCUCUGCUGUUCAGACGCCAGAGCAGCCGGAGAGUCCACACACCCACAGAGCUUUAUUCACAGCAGUGGCUGGGGCUGGAUUGGGUGUAUGAACUGCAGUUUGUCCCCACAGCCUCCUCACUAUUGACGCCUGUACCUGAGCGUGCAUUUGCGACAAUGGGUGAACCUACACUGACACGUCAUCAUCACCAAGAGCCCAUACUUGACACUAGGAUUUACACUUGGUGGUGUGCACUCUGUGGGUUUGGACAGAUGUACAAUGACACGUUUCUACCAUCACAGCAUCAUACAGAGUAGUCUGUCUUAGUGACCCUAAAAAUGCUCCUUGCUGCACCUCAUUCAUUACUCCUUCCCCUCUAGCCUCUGACAGUAACUGAUCUUUUAGUCUCUGUGGUUUUGCCUUUCCCAGAACACCAUACAGUUGGAAUCAGACAGUUGCAGAAUCUUCCCAGAUUGGCUUCUUUCACUUAGUAAUAUGCAUUUAAGGUUCCUCCAUGUCUUUCCAUGCCUUGAUAACUCAUUUUAUUUUAACACCAUAAAUAGUCCAUUUUCUGCCUGGACCACAGUUUAUUUAUCCAUUCACCUACUGAAGAACAGCUUAGUGGUUUCUGAGUUCUGGUGAUUAUGAAUAAAGCUGCUAUUAACAUCUGUAUGCAGAUUUGUGUGUGGACGUAAUUUUCCAUUUUGUUCAGUAAACACCAAGGAGCACAGUUGCCAGAUGAUAUGGUAGGAGUACGUUUAGUUUUGUAAAAAAUUGCCAGACCGUCUUCCAAAGUAUCUGGGCCAUUUUUCAUUCCCACCAGCAAUGCAAGAAAAUUCCUGACGCUCCACAUCCUCACCAGCAUUUGGUGCUGUCAGUGUUCUGAGUUUUGGCAGUUCUGACUGGUGUGCAGUGAUAACUCACUGUUUCAGUCUGCAGCCCCUUGAUGACAGAUGCUGUGGAGCAUGUUUCCAUAGAUUUCUUUGGCAUCUAGUUUCCAUGUUGAGGUGUGUGUUGAGGCAUUUUGCUCAUUUUUUAAGCAGGUUAUUCAUUCUUCUUGUUGAGUUUAAAGAGAUUUUGGUGUAUUCUGGAUAUCAGCCCUUUAUCAAUGUGUCCCUGCCCUUCACCUGCAGCACCGGAGUUGUCCUUUGGGUCUCAGUGGAGUGUCAGCUCUUCAAAGAGGUUCCCUGUCUUCCCUCACCUAAAUACUGUCCUUGAACUUUUCACUUUCAUUGACUCACUUUGUUCUUUUUAAAUAGCAUUUCCCAUAAUUUGUAAGUACAUUAAAAAAAAAGGCAAUGAUUGAACACUGCCUCCCCCACCAGGCUGUGUGCCCUGUGAGAGCAGAGACCCUGUCCCCACUCACCAUGUCCCAUGACAGCACAUGUCACAUGUCCAUGUAAAUGUGUGUAACGUGGGGCCAAACCUGAUGAGCAGCUAUGACGACAUGUGUUGGCUACCAUUCAUUGAAUAGAGUUUGUUUCUUGAUCUUAAUUUUAAAUCACAUGAAUGAAACAUGUUUCUUUUGAAAAAUAAAACAACAAAGCACACCUCCAUGUGAUUGGUACUUUCUACUUAGCCUUCUGACCCAGGAGGGGACGUUCACCAUCAUUUUGUGGAGGAGGUUGGGGAGGUAAAUUAGGAGAGUGAGAUCAAAUAAAGUAAAAAUGAUAACAAUCAGCUGGCUUUAUUUUCACUAAGACAAAUUUUACUUUAAACCAUACCUCAGCUGUUGUUCUGUUGUUUUAAACACUUCUCAUAGAAUUAAAUGGAAGCCCACUAAACCCUGAAAGGGAAAUUAUGUGCUCAGGUCCUGAAAAGUGUUUAUGUCUAUUUCUUGAAAUGCACAUUUUCCCUGCUGGUUACAGAAUGUCAUGGCGGGAACACAGCCGUGAGCUGUGUGUGUCUGCCAGCUUCACGGGCUGCUCACUGUCAUUUUCAUUUUCUUGUGUUGCAGUGUAUGAAGGUUUUCCAUCAGACUGUUUGCUCAGCCCCUUCCUGAAUGAGGGAUUGAAUUUUCCACAGGAAAUCUUAUGGAAGAGAGUGACAAGGCACAUGGGUUUCCCAAAAAGCAAUAGUUGUUGUAAUAAACUCUCACAUUGGUGAACUUUUUGAAUACAAGCGAGUUGAAAAUUUUAUCACUAGGUCAUAUGCCACAAAUCUGUCUUAAGAAUAAAAAGAUUCAGAUUUUAUAGAAGAAGCAGUUUGAAUCAAGUAUAAAUUACAAUUUGUACACUAGUUGGUGUUAGAACAUGUACUCACUCUUACCAUAAUUGCCUGUGGUAGGAACUGGAUCAUUAUUUAUUUAUUUAAAAAAAAUCCUCAAGGUUCUACUUGCCUCAUUCUUGAUGCGGCAGUGCUGAGGUUAGUUAAGUUGGGACAUUUAGAAUUCUUGGCUAGGUUUUCAGGACAUUGAUUUCAGCCUCUUUAUCUUUUUUAGAAUCUCUUCUUUGUGUCGGUCUUUGGUCUUUUGACAAUGUGGAAAUACUGCACAGAUCAGUCUUUCCCUUUUUCCUGUCUUUAUGGGAAAAGAUUUCUGUAAGACACACUACUAGGACAUUAAGCAUUUUGUGUGGGGUAAGUUUGGUCGGCUCAAAGGAUUUCAAUUAAUACAUAUUAAUACUUGCUAUUCAGCUAAUGAUAAGAAAAUUAUAAAAUAACUUAAUUAUACAUCAAUAAAUAUAGUACAAUAAGCCCAUCACCCAGAUUAAGGAAUUCACAAACAUUUCCAUAUUUCCUUUAUUCAGACCUUUGUUCUUUUACUUGUCCUUUGUUGAAGUAUUUGACAGCAAAUUCAAGAAAACAUGUCAUUUUACCCUAUGUACUCAAGUAGGCAUGUCUGAAAAAUGAGGGCCAUUUCUUUGAUCAGGUUUUUCCAUUUGACUUAUGUGCUCGUUAAGUACCAGCUGUAUCAGGCAUCUCACUAGGCAUUAGGAAUCCUUGGGGCAAUGAGACAGUCCUGGCUCCCAAGGAAGUUAAGGGCUGAUGGAAGAAACCAACACAGGAGCUUAGGUGCCCCACCUAAGGUCCCUGCGGGAUGACACCAAUUGGAAAAAAUUUGUGCACAAUACAGUGGGAUUCACAGAAGGGACUGGUCAGACUAGUAGGGCAGGCCGUGAGAGAGGCGGUCAGCAGGGCUACAAGAGGAGGAAUCAUUUGAUCAGAAUCUGAAAUCUUUUCUGCCAACCUUCCUACCAAGCCCUAGGGCCCAUCACACACAACCCUGUGCUGUAACUGUUUUUGAUUCCUGUUACCACGUCUCCUUCAGGAAGGAUUUUAAGGUGGAAAAUAUUUAAAAUCAGUAAUUGUUGCCAGAAGGGACAUAGAACAAAGAACAUGGAAACAACACAAAUGUCCAUCAGCACAUGACUGGAUAAAGACAAGGUGAUACAUAUCUACAAUGGAAUACUACUCAGCCAUAACAGAUGCAAUUUGCAGCAACAUGGAUGGACCUGAAGACUGUCAUUCUAAGUGAAGUGGGGUGAAAAGAGAAAGAAAAAUGCCAUAAGACUUCAUUUAUGAGGAAUCUAAAAUUAAUAGCAAUAAUAAUAAGACCACAAAUGAACUAAUUGUUAUUUUGAUUUCUUGAAUAUGCUUAAGCACAUAUGACUGUCCUUUGUGAUUGGAUUACCAUAUUCUGUUUAUUAUUCUUUUGUAGUUGGCUUUAUUCCUCUGGUAACUAUGUAAGUUUAAAAAUCUGAAACUCUAAUCUGUUCUUAGAAACAAUAAUUAGUACAUAUAUGUAACUAAAAAAAUGCAGUAUACUCUAUACAUGUAUUUACAUGCAAUGUGUAUGUGGAGUUGAACUGUAAUAAUUAUACCUAAUAAUACUGAAAAAGGAAAAAAAUAAAAUAAUAUAUAAAAAAACUA
This is a long non-coding RNA of Camelus dromedarius (Arabian camel), 6681 nucleotides long. RefSeq lists it as uncharacterized. The transcript is spliced from 8 exons. Lineage: Eukaryota; Metazoa; Chordata; Mammalia; Artiodactyla; Camelidae. The record is from RefSeq and is a predicted model, not a curated record.